CGUGCCUACGGGGGGCAGCAGUGGGGAAUAUUGCACAAUGGGGGAAACCCUGAUGCAGCAACGCCGCGGGAGGGAUGACGGCCUUCGGGUUGUAAAGCUCUGUCUUCAGGGACGAUAAUGACGGUACCUGAGGAGGAAGCCACGGCUAACUACGUGCCAGCAGCCGCGGUAAUACGUAGGUGGCGAGCGUUGUCCGGAUUUACUGGGCGUAAAGGGAGCGUAGGCGGACAAUUAAGUGAGAUGUGCAAUACUCGGGCUCAACUUGAGGGCUGCAUUUCAAAC
RNAcentral lists this ribosomal RNA (282 nucleotides) under uncultured bacterium. RNAcentral's name for it is "partial 16S ribosomal RNA". It matches the Rfam family "Bacterial small subunit ribosomal RNA", at positions 334 to 633 of the family's 1533-position model. The record is from RNAcentral.